GACGAGCCACCCGAACGUUAUUCGGAAUUACUGGGCUUAAAGGGGGCGUAGGCGGUGUAGCAAGUCGGGAGUGAAAUACCCCAGCUUAACUGAGGAAUUGCUUUCGAUACUGCUGCGCUUGAGUGAGACAGAGGUAAGCGGAACUUAGGGUGGAGCGGUGAAAUGCGUUGAUAUCCUAAGGAACACCGGUGGCGAAGGCGGCUUACUGGGUCUCAACUGACGCUGAGGCACGAAAGCUAGGGUAGCAAACGGG
Molecule: ribosomal RNA, 253 nt
Filed under: uncultured bacterium
Lineage: Bacteria
Description: partial 16S ribosomal RNA
Rfam family: Bacterial small subunit ribosomal RNA
Source: RNAcentral